RNAcentral lists this ribosomal RNA (137 nucleotides) under uncultured eukaryote. RNAcentral describes it as "partial 18S ribosomal RNA". It matches the Rfam family "Eukaryotic small subunit ribosomal RNA", at positions 1299 to 1458 of the family's 1831-position model. The record is from RNAcentral.
UGGUGGGGUGACUUGUCUGCUUAAUUGCGAUAACGAACGAGACCUUAACCUGCUAAAUAGCCCGCAUUGCUCCGGCAGUGCGCUGGCUUCUUAGAGGGACUUUAGGCUCAAGCCGAAGGAAGUUUGAGGCAAUAACA